This 45-nucleotide non-coding RNA is filed under the name Schistosoma margrebowiei. Lineage: Eukaryota; Metazoa; Platyhelminthes; Trematoda; Strigeidida; Schistosomatidae. The record is from RNAcentral.
AUCCAGCUGACGAGUCGCAAAUGGGAGGAAACUUUCGUCCUGGAC